Molecule: long non-coding RNA, 322 nt
Organism: Colias croceus (clouded yellow)
Lineage: Eukaryota; Metazoa; Arthropoda; Insecta; Lepidoptera; Pieridae
Exons: 2
Source: RefSeq, a predicted model, not a curated record
GGAACUUUGUUGUGUCGGAGAAAACACGUGCAAUUGAGAUUUUUCUUAAAUAAUUUGUUGAGAACACUCAUUUAUAGUGUAAAGUGGUAGUGAUAACCAAAUUUGUGACUGUCUUUAUAUAUAUAUUGGGGUUAUACAGCUCCAUGUAAGAAGUUUAUGAGUAAAUAAAAAGUGAAUCAUCUCAUCCGUGAUUUUUCCUCAGCACAGAGUAUGCUUAACAUGAGCAUUAACUUAAAUUGAUCAUCUGUUCAAAACUUGACAUUGGCAGAAUCCGUCUUCACUGGGAUCGGGAGUUGCCAUUUGUAAAAAGAAGAAGAAGUAG